This 353-nucleotide long non-coding RNA is filed under the name Nicotiana benthamiana. RNAcentral's name for it is "long non-coding RNA (NBEN_LNC020783)". Lineage: Eukaryota; Viridiplantae; Streptophyta; Magnoliopsida; Solanales; Solanaceae. The record is from RNAcentral.
UCUGACUGCUUAUUCUUGGGCGUUUGCGUACUUGGUAACCAUUACAACCGAGAUGGUCUAUAUUAAACAUAUGGUAACUAAUCUGGGGCUGAAUACUUGGGGUUUCGUGUUCUACAACAAUUUGUUGUCAUUGAUGAUGGCUCCUUUAUUUUGGAUUGCAUAUGGUAACCAAUCUGGGGCUGAAUACUUGGGGCUUCGUGUUCUACAACAAUUUGUUGUCAUUGAUGAUGGCUCCUUUAUUUUGGAUUAUUACUGGGGAGUAUGUUGACGUGUUCAUUGCUAUGGGAUCAAAUGGAGGGACAUUGUUUAACCCUGUCGCCUUCAUUGCAGUCUCAUUAUCCUGUGUGUUUGGA